Acanthosepion pharaonis is the source of this 101-nucleotide non-coding RNA. The record is from the annotation of a GenBank genome assembly. Lineage: Eukaryota; Metazoa; Mollusca; Cephalopoda; Sepiida; Sepiidae.
GCGUUGAAACACCGGUUCCCAUACGAUCACCGAAGUUAAGCAGCAUCAAUCCUGGUCAGUACUAAGAUGGGUGACCGCUUAGGAAUACCAGUUGCUGUAAG